This 253-nucleotide ribosomal RNA is filed under the name uncultured bacterium. Its description in RNAcentral is "partial 16S ribosomal RNA". It matches the Rfam family "Bacterial small subunit ribosomal RNA", at positions 524 to 776 of the family's 1533-position model. The record is from RNAcentral.
UACAGAGGCCUCGAGCGUUAGGCGGAAUCACUGGGCUUAAAGCGUGUGUAGGCGGACUUCUAAGUACCUUGUGAAAUCCCACGGCUCACCCGUGGAACUGCUUGGUAUACUGGUUGUCUUGAGCCUUCUAGGGGCGAGUGGAACAAAUGGUGGAGCGGUGAAAUGCGUAGAUAUCACUUGGAACGCCAAUGGUGAAAACAACUCGCUGGGGAAGUGCUGACGCUGAGACACGAAAGCCAGGGGAGCAAACGGG